CUAAUAUUUAAAAAAGAAAACAUCUUUUGUUCCUGGAAGAAUAUAGCAGUAUCAUUCUGUUAAACUUGCUUCAUAACCCUUAUGUAAUAUAUGCAUAAAUCACAAGUCUGAAAUUUACAUGCUCUAUCUCAUUGCAUUGAUGGAAAGAAUUACAUAUUGAUAUACUGGUCUUUACAUCAAAGGAAUGAAUCCUUGAAUCAGGACGAAAAAUUUUGGACAACCAGGGAAGAAGCAAAUGGCAAGUCGCUGGUCAAAAUCUUGUAGAGGCAAGAAAAAAAAAAUGAAUUUGAUGAGAAAACAUUAACAAAAUCGACCAUUACUGUUUGCAUCUCUGUGUCUUCCCACGUAAACUAAUACUGUUUUGGAAUACAGCAGAUUUUCCUGUAGCUGCAAGGCCUACAAACUUUGUACUGCUUGUUUACUCUAGUACUAGAUGUUUCUUGUCUACCUAGGGAAGAAUUGUUGUUCUCAGAUGCUUCAUUAUGAUCAACAACCAGCAGCUUUUAGAAAGUUAUCAUACGGGCACAACGAUGGUAGCUGGAAGAAGUCAGGAUUAUGUUGAUAUUCUGUCGCACAUUGCAUUGGAAUAGUUGCAAUAGAUAAUCUUUGUGAGUUUGCAGUGAAGUUCAGGUCAAGAAAAGGACUGCCUAUCUGCAUGUUCAGUUAGGUUAUGUGAAGCAUUUCACAAGAUAUCAUAUUAGCACCAUACAUAUAAAUAUGCGGAAGUAUGAAAAUGCUGAAAUUUUCCAAAGUGAGAAGAACCCACACUGGAAACCACAGUAAUAAGAGAACAAGAAAUUACCUUCUUUGUCUCCUCACAAUGAUUCUUUGGACAGAAGCUAAUCAAACUUUCCUGCUUCUUAUGGGCACUCAUCACAUUAGAAAUUUUCUUUUGCUUUCCCAUUAGAAGUGUAUCACAGUGAUGGGCCAUUUCUUUGUAAGGCAAAUCAGGUGCAGUUAUAGACAUUCUUCCAGCUUGAUGUGCUGCAUCCAAGACCUGCGCAAAUAAUGCACACUAGCAGUAAUUAUGGUUUUCAUUGUUUUGCUUACAUGGUAAGUCCCAAAUGCAGGCCUAUUAAGGCCAUAAGACCACAGUGGGCAGCACCUUCAUGCUGUCAAUAAUUUUAUAAUUUCAUAUGAGAAAUCAAUCUCGAAAUGGAUUUUCCAUAUGAGACAGAUAAAAGCCUUCUUAUUGUUCCAAAAGCAAACAGAUAGGAGCAUGAUAUGGGAGGGUGACAUACUGAUUCUGUAAGCUGAUUGACGCUUAAAAGUUUCUGGUUCUGAAAGAUCAACUCCUUAUUAGGUUUGGCUUGACCUUCUACAGAAUCUACGAGAACGUCUUCAUCUACUGUUACCAUCGAAUCAUCCUGCAUACAACAAUAGGAUGAUGUCAGCUUCAUGAAUUUAAGAGAAUGGAAAAAAAUUAAUGGAAGGAAGUGGCCGCUAUAAUAGAAUUUUCUUUUGAAUCAACCUGAUCAAGUUGAAGUAGAGCAUCCAUAAACUGGCCUCCCAAUUGGCACACAUCAUUGGGUAAGAAUUCGUUAAGGAGCUGCUCGUUUACAAAGGAUAAUUCAGACUGCAGAGAAAGUCAUUAUUCAUUAUGACUACGCAUCAUGCAAACCAUUAUAAAUAAAAUCAUGCAAGUGGAAGCCCACAAUAGUAAUAGAGUCAAAGCUUUACAUCCGGAACAUUUUCCAAGCUCUUAACAAUCUCAGCAGCGAAGAAUUCCCUGCUUUGGUCCCCUGUAAUGUCUAUUUCUGAAAGAAAUUUAAAUGCUGAAUCAUCAUCCUCCUUAGAUCCAUAAAUAUUUCUGGAGUGGUCAGAUCCAGCAUUAACAGCCUUUAACUUCUUAUUGACCAAGUGCAAAAAUGGAUCAACCUGGAAGCAUAAAUCCAUGUAAAGUCAAACAUAAAGUUUGACCACAAAUCAUAUAAAAGAUACCAAAAAUAAGGUUCAUCUUUGAUUGCAAACAAAAAAUAGAGAAAUUCCCUACUCCAUAGAGUGGACAAGGAACUUCAAAGCAGCUGCUUAAUAGACACUUACAAUCAAAGCAGGACUGCAAUUUCAUCACCAAUGAUUCACAUACCAUUUUUUCUGUAAGCAAAACCUUGGAAAACUGAACAAUUGGAACAAUAUUAUAUGCUUUUGAUGAAAAGAGAAUCAUUGAAGUUGCCAAGGUAAAGAGAGAUCUACGACGUGAUGGUGGGAGUGGCCCUCCUUUGUUAAGAGCUAUGUUUCUUAAGGAAAAUGCAAGCUGAAAGCUUCGAACUAAAGACUCAAUAUUGGAGUUCUUGGCUCGAGAGAAUAGCAUAACCAGGCCAUAUGUAUGAGCAAUUGCUUCAUAGUUUUCAGGUGUAUUUGCUGGAGAAAUGGACUGUACCCAAAUCGAUGCCAGUAACAUAUUAAUCUGAAGACUACUGAGCCUUAGAGAACCUGCAUCCGUUUCCUUAGUGCUCACAGGAUUUUCAUCUGUUGUUAAAGUUGCAAGAGAAUUUUCACCCCUGUAAAUUCGACUGUAUGAGAACUUCAAAGUAUCAACCCUAGCGUUCCUGAUUUGUUCACCUUCUACAACAGUUUCUUGGUUGUCUUGGCGGGCAUUUUCCUUAAAGGACGUUUUCUCUUUCCUUAGUUUCUCAAAAAGAGCAGCUGAGGAUGAAAAGACAGACACAGUUCUUGAAAGUGUUCGAAGAUUUAAGCCUUUCUUUGAUUCAGGAUUACUUGAGGAUUGACGGGGGCAAAUUGAAGAUGGCACUAGAACAACAGAAAAGAUGCGGUGGGCUCCAAGCCGUGCUUCAUGGUCAGGUUGGACCAUAGCCGGGAUUAAGUGAUGAAAUAAAGUCUCAGGGAAUGCCUUGUUUUGAUACAACAAAUUUGGCAUUGGAGCUACAAUUUGAGCAGUACGAUAAACAGCAGAGAUUAUUGCCCUGCUCAUAACUGCAAUAGUAGAGAUGUUCUCCAACAUCACAGCCAUAACAUCAAGAAUUGGGCCUGCAUCUCCAACCUUAUAUGAUAAUUCCACAAGGCAUUUAUCCACUGCUUCUCUAUAGCUUUUGUUCCAAUUUUUAAUGUCAUUGCCCAGAUUCACAUCAUCAGGUGAGCAAUGUAUGCCUUUCUGCAAAUGCCUCAUAAGAUCACUCACUGCACCAAUUAUUGCUACAGAAGACUCAACCUUUGCAUGUUGAGCAAGAGAGGAUAUAACCUCAACAAUCUCAAGCUGCAUCUUGGGUUGUUUAAGGACAUUUUUGUGAUCAAGAUGCUUAAUCAAUGUGGACAGCAGAACAUGUGCAUUUUGCCCUUUGAACAUAGAAACAAAUCAGAAAGGAUGGGUUAGUCGAUUAUCAAGCAAUGAAUAAAAUAAAAUAAUAUAGAAAUAGCAUAGUUUGAGUUUAAUAAACUAGGAAUCUGAAGCGAAAAUAUUAUAGAUUCCUUAGGUACCAGAAUUGUCCAUUAAAAACUGCAUAUCCCUUAACACUGGGAAUGCAAGACCAUAUUCAGGAGACCAUAAAUUUGCACAAUCAAAGUAACGGAACAAAGAUUCUAAUACACGCCGAAUGCUUGUGGUCCCCUUCCCUAGCUGGGCCAUGUUAUUCAAACAAACCCAGGACCAAAAGAUGGGAUUCUGCGCAUCUUCCCUACCAAAAAUAAUAAAUAAAAAUAAAAAAUAUGUCGAAAUUUUUUUUUUUUUUUAGUCCAAAAUAAAUGUUCGACGACAAGUUGAUCAAUUAAUUCAGUAAAAAAUGUAGUUAGUACUAAAUUUCGUUGAUACCAUCUAAAAAAUCCAAUUCAAUUGUUUACUUAUUUUCAAUUUCAAUGAGUGAGUUCAACUAACUCAUUUUUAAAAUAUAAAAUAUAAAUAUCCAGUGGAUGAAUAAAAAGGCUUCCUGAAGCCUUUCAUUUGUCUAUCAUUAUAGAUAAUAAUACUAUCCAUAUUUUCUAUGGAAUUCGCUAUUUAUGAUUCCUGAUUUUUAUCUCAUGGGCCCUUCUUUUUUUAUUUUAUUUCAGCAUAUCGAUUUACGCCUAGUUAUUAUUAUUUUCUUUUUUUCAUAGAUGAAUUCUGCAGAUUUUCACAUCUCGGAUUUACAUAUACAACAUAUAUCACUGUCAAGAUAAAAUUUCUUAUUAUUUAGAUAUUUUGAUUCAAAAAAGUUAAGGAUUAGAAACUUGAAAAACAAGGAUUGGGUUGCGCCAUAUAUAUGAAAGAGUAUACAAUAAUGAUGUAUUUGGUGAAUCAAAUACCAUGGUCUAAUAACAAAAUUCUGAUUAAUUGAUAAUAUUGGUUGAUAACUUUGUGAAAGAUUCUUAUGAAAGGCCUAUAUGACAUGACUGAUCAAUAGAAAUACUCCAACACCCUACCUUUGUUAUAUACAUCACACUAGAUAGAUAUCAUAUUCAUGUUGAAAGUGAUCUGAUUGAUAAUAAUUAUUUGGAUUAGCAAACUUAAGAUUUUUUUUUUUUUUUGCUAGCAAAUAAUCAGCAACAAAAUGUAAUUGUGUGAACUUAAACUUCAAUAUUCUUUUUCUUUAGAGUUGCCUAUUAUUUUGGUAAU
Molecule: unclassified non-coding RNA, 4546 nt
Filed under: Hevea brasiliensis (rubber tree)
Lineage: Eukaryota; Viridiplantae; Streptophyta; Magnoliopsida; Malpighiales; Euphorbiaceae
Source: RNAcentral